RNAcentral lists this non-coding RNA (45 nucleotides) under Echinostoma caproni. The record is from RNAcentral. Lineage: Eukaryota; Metazoa; Platyhelminthes; Trematoda; Plagiorchiida; Echinostomatidae.
GUACUGCUGAUGAGUUCCAAACAGGACGAAACAGCUGUCCAGUGC